CGCGGUAUUAUGACCGUGCGAAGGUAGCAUAAUCAAUAGUCUAUUAAAUGUGGUCUGGAAUGAAUGGUUUGACGGGGAGUAUCUUUUUUAACUUUAUGGUUGAAUUUUAAUUAUUAGUGAAAAUGCUAAUGUGUUUUAGGGGGACGAGAAGACCCUAUAGAGCUUUACAUAUAAUUAAGAGUUUAGUGGUAUUUUUUCUUAAUAUAUGUUUUGUUGGGGCGACAAUAAAUUUAAACAUUUAUAAUAUUGUCUACAAUUAAAGGAUUUUGAUCCAUUAAUAAUGAUUACUAGACUAAGUUACCUUAGGGAUAACAGCGUAAUUUUAUUUUAGAGUUCUUAUCGAUAAUAAAGUUUGCGACCUCGAUGUUGGAUUAAGAUCCUUUUAAGGUGCAGUAGCUUUAAAAAGUAGUCUGUUCGACUAUUAAAUUCUUACAUGAUCUGAGUUC
This 446-nucleotide ribosomal RNA is filed under the name Digitipes sp. B JJ-2012. Its description in RNAcentral is "partial 16S ribosomal RNA". It matches the Rfam family "Bacterial large subunit ribosomal RNA", at positions 1932 to 2612 of the family's 2925-position model. The record is from RNAcentral. Lineage: Eukaryota; Metazoa; Arthropoda; Chilopoda; Scolopendromorpha; Scolopendridae.